UACGUAGGGUGCAAGCGUUAAUCGGAAUUACUGGGCGUAAAGCGUGCGCAGGCGGUUAUGUAAGACAGAUGUGAAAUCCCCGGGCUCAACCUGGGAACUGCAUUUGUGACUGCAUAGCUAGAGUACGGUAGAGGGGGAUGGAAUUCCGCGUGUAGCAGUGAAAUGCGUAGAUAUGCGGAGGAACACCGAUGGCGAAGGCAAUCCCCUGGACCUGCACUGACGCUCAUGCACGAAAGCGUGGGGAGCAAACAGG
This 253-nucleotide ribosomal RNA is filed under the name uncultured bacterium. RNAcentral's name for it is "partial 16S ribosomal RNA". It matches the Rfam family "Bacterial small subunit ribosomal RNA", at positions 524 to 776 of the family's 1533-position model. The record is from RNAcentral.